UGGAUCACCUCCUAACAGGGAAACAACACAAUGAUUUUGAUGCCUGAGUGCUUUUAUUCUUAGGCCGAAAUCCUGUCACCUUAGGUCGAUCGGUACCUCAGCUUUGAAGUUAAGGAUCAGCAGCAAUGUUGAUCGCUUGAUGGAGAUUUUCAGUUCUUAAACUUUGUCUAGGUCACACCCCAAAAGGGAUGAGAUUCCUGGGCCAUUAGCUCAGGUGGUUAGAGCGCACCCCUGAUAAGGGUGAGGUCCCUGGUUCAAGUCCAGGAUGGCCCAUUCGGUGUUGGGGGUUUAGCUCAGUUGGUAGAGCGCCUGCUUUGCAAGCAGGAUGUCAGGAGUUCGAGUCUCCUAACCUCCACUGACCGAACUUGAUUCCCAUCUCCAAUUUUUUUGGAGUUGAGCUCGAUUGGAGUGUGAUUUAGAUGUGUCCGCUGGAUGACCCCAGCUUCCUGUCAUUCCAAGUUUUAGGUUGAAGCCUUGAAUUUGGUUGAUAAGAUGCUGGGCUCGAAUCAAGUGAUCAGUAAUUGAUGAUUUGAUUUGAAUUUCUAGCAGAACCUUGACAACUGCAUAGGUGAGUCUGGAAAAAACAAAGCAUCUUACAGAUGCAUUGUUUUGAAUCUGAUCUUCUGAAAGGGAGAUUGGAUCUAGAACAAUGAAAAUUCUUUUGAGCAAGAGCCGAGACUCUUAAACGUUCUUUGAUCCGUGUCGAGCGAAUCAGAGUUUGAUCUUGUUUUUAGCAAUAAAAACUUGAGAAUCUGCUUUCAACUGUGGUAAGCGUUUAGGAGAUUAAUUGGUCAAGCUACAAAGGGCUCACGGCGGAUACCUUGGCACACAGAGGCGAUGAAGG
This 844-nucleotide transfer RNA is filed under the name uncultured Synechococcus sp. Its description in RNAcentral is "partial contains 16S ribosomal RNA, 16S-23S ribosomal RNA intergenic spacer, and 23S ribosomal RNA". The stretch from base 283 to 355 matches the Rfam family "tRNA". The record is from RNAcentral. Lineage: Bacteria; Bacillati; Cyanobacteriota; Cyanophyceae; Synechococcales; Synechococcaceae.